UCUACUAAUAUUGUAGAGUAGAAAACUUAUUCUGCAUGUGUCCUUAGAAAUAAUUUUUGGAGUAAUAUAUGUGGUUAUUUAAUAUUUAUAUAUACAUAUUAUUUGUGGCUUUUUAUUUUUUAGACUACAAAGACAGUCGGAUCAACCCAGCAAACUUUAGAAACUAUUUCUAACAUAGCGGGAAAUGCAUCCUUUUCAUCACCAUCAUCUUCUCACUUAUCUCCUGAAAAUGAAAAUCAGCAGCAGCUUCAGCCCAAGGCAUACAACCCGGAGACUCUGACAACUAUCCAAACGCAAGACAUCUCACAGCCAGGGACUUUUCCAGCGGUUUCUGCUUCUAGUCAGCUGCCCAGCAGCGAUGCACUGCUGCAGCAGGCGGCACAGUUUCAGACAAGAGACGCUCAGUCCAGAGACACAAUGCAGUCAGACUCAGUGGUUAACUUGUCACAGUUGACUGAGGCACCACAGCAGCAGCAGUCCCCACUGCAAGAACAAGCACAGAUACCAUCAAAUAUUUUUCCGUCGCCAAAUAGUGUGAGCCAGCUCCAGAGUACUAUUCAGCAGCUGCAAGCAGGAAGUUUUACAGGCAGCACUGCUAGUGGCAGCAAUGGAAGUGUUGACUUGGUCCAGCAGGUUUUAGAGGCACAACAACAGUUAUCGUCUGUUCUGUUUUCUACUCCAGAUGGUAAUGAGAAUGUUCAAGAACAGCUGAAUGCAGACAUUUUCCAAGUCAGUCAAAUUCAAAAUAGUGUAAGCCCUGGAAUGUUUUCCUCAACAGAGUCUGCAGUUCACACCAGACCAGAUAACUUACUACCUGGGAGGGCCGACAGCGUCCAUCAGCAGACUGAAAACACACUGUCUAGUCAGCAGCAGCAACAGCAGCAGCAGCAGCAGCAACAGCAGCAGCAAGUGAUAGAGUCUUCAGCUGCCAUGGUGAUGGAGAUGCAGCAGAGCAUUUGCCAAGCAGCAGCCCAGAUUCAGUCAGAACUGUUUCCUUCAGCUGCUUCAGCAAAUGGAAGCCUUCAGCAGUCUCCAGUUUACCAGCAGCCUUCUCACAUGAUGAGCGCCCUGCCUACCAGCGAGGACAUGCAAAUGCAGUGUGAAUUGUUCUCUUCCCCCCCUGCAGUUUCUGGAAAUGAAACAUCCACCACCACCACACCGCAGGUGGCAACCCCCGGCUCUACUAUGUUUCAGCCGCCAAAUUCAGGCGAUGGAGAAGAAACGGGAGCACAAGCAAAACAGAUUCAGAGCAGUGUCUUUCAGACAAUGGUCCAGAUGCAGCACAGUGGGGACAGCCAACCUCAAGUAAACCUCUUUUCAUCUACAAAAAACAUAAUGAGUGUUCAGAGUAAUGGUACCCAGCAACAAGGGAAUAGCUUGUUCCAGCAGGGGAGCGAGAUGCUGUCACUUCAGUCUGGGAGCUUCUUGCAGCAGUCUUCUCAUUCCCAGGCUCAGCUCUUUCACCCUCAGAACCCUAUUGCUGAUGCUCAGAGCCUUUCCCAGGAGACUCAAGGUCCAAUGUUUCAUAGCGCCAAUCCCAUCGUCCACAGUCAGACUUCCACAGCAUCCUCCGAACAGCUGCAGCCUUCCAUGUUUCACUCGCAGAGUACCAUUGCUGUACUACAGGGCUCUUCAGUCCCUCAGGACCAGCAGUCACCCAACAUAUAUCUUUCCCAAAGUUCCAUCAGUAAUCUUCAAACUAACACAGUAGCCCAAGAAGAGCAGAUUUCAUUUUUUUCAGCACAGAACUCAAUUUCUCCACUUCAGUCAACAUCAAACACUGAGCAGCAAGCUGCUUUUCAACAGCAGCCUCCAAUCUCGCACAUCCAGACCCCUCUUCUUUCCCAGGAACAGGCACAGCCCUCUCAGCAAGGUUUAUUUCAGCCUCAGGUGGCCCUGGGCUCCCUUCCUGCUAAUCCAAUGCCUCAGAACCAGCAAGGCCCAAUUUUCCAGACACAGCGCCCAAUAGUUGGCAUGCAGAGUAACUCUCCAUCCCAGGAGCAGCAGCAGCAGCAACAGCAGCAGCAACAACAACAGCAGCAGCAGCAGCAGCAGAGCAUUUUAUUUAGUAAUCAGAAUGCCAUGGCUACAAUGGCCUCCCAGAAGCAGCCACCACCAAACAUGAUAUUUAGCCCAAACCAGAACCCGAUGGCUAGUCAAGAGCAGCAGAACCAGUCAAUUUUUCACCAGCAAAGUAAUAUGGCCCCAAUGAACCAAGAGCAGCAGCCCAUGCAGUUUCAGAAUCAGCCUACGGUUUCCUCACUUCAGAACCCAGGUCCUACGCCAUCUGAGUCACCACAGACCUCCUUGUUCCAUAGUUCUCCUCAGAUCCAGUUGGUUCAAGGGUCACCUAGUUCUCAAGAGCAACAAGUAACACUCUUCCUCUCUCCAGCAUCCAUGUCUGCAUUGCAAACCAGUAUAAACCAACCAGACAUGCAGCAGUCUCCUCUUUAUUCCCCACAGAACAACAUCCCUGGAAUCCAAGGAAGCACUUCUUCACCCCAGCCACAGGCUGCUUUAUUUCACAACACUACAGGAGGCACAAUAAACCAACUACAAAAUUCUCCUGGCUCAUCUCAGCAGACUUCAGGAAUGUUCUUAUUUGGCAUUCAAAAUAGUAAGGAACUCAAAUUUCUCAGUGCUCAGUUGAAAUAUUCAGAUCAUUAUGAGGAAGCACAAGGCACAGCAGUUUCAAAGCAGAGUGGAAUUCCACCAGCUACAGACUGAGGCCCUUAUAGGCAUAAAUUUCCAUAUUUUCAAAAGUAAUCAUUUUAGACUAGUCAUAAUGGUCCAUGCCUGUAGUCCUAGCCCUUGAGAGGUAUAGGCAGGAGGAUUGGGAAUUCAAGUCAUCUGUGGCUCCAUAGUGUGUUUGAGGCCAGCCUAGAGUACAGGAGACUUUAUUUCAGAAACAGAAACCAAAAAAAAAAAAAAAAA
Molecule: long non-coding RNA, 2934 nt
Filed under: Rattus norvegicus (Norway rat)
Lineage: Eukaryota; Metazoa; Chordata; Mammalia; Rodentia; Muridae
Description: long non-coding RNA NONRATT014650
Source: RNAcentral